RNAcentral lists this transfer RNA (69 nucleotides) under Ictidomys tridecemlineatus (thirteen-lined ground squirrel). Its description in RNAcentral is "Spermophilus tridecemlineatus (thirteen-lined ground squirrel) tRNA". It matches the Rfam family "tRNA". From Rfam's summary of the family: Transfer RNA (tRNA) molecules are approximately 80 nucleotides in length. Their secondary structure includes four short double-helical elements and three loops (D, anti-codon, and T loops). The record is from Rfam by way of RNAcentral. Lineage: Eukaryota; Metazoa; Chordata; Mammalia; Rodentia; Sciuridae. RNAcentral also lists the same sequence under 1 other name.
GGGACUGUGGCUCAGUGGUAAAGUGCUUGCCUCCAAUGUAUGAGACACUGGGUUCGAUCCUCAGCACCA